GACGAACCGUGCGAACGUUGUUCGGAAUCACUGGGCUUAAAGGGCGCGUAGGCGGGUCUUCAAGUUUGGGGUGAAAUCCUCCGGCUCAACCGGAGAACUGCCUCGAAUACUGAAGGUCUCGAGGGGGAUAGGGGCAUGCGGAACUACGGAUGGAGCGGUGAAAUGCGUUGAUAUCCGUAGGAACUCCGGUGGCGAAGGCGGCGUGCUGGAUCCCUUCUGACGCUGAGGCGCGAAAGCCAGGGGAGCAAACGGG
This 253-nucleotide ribosomal RNA is filed under the name uncultured bacterium. RNAcentral's name for it is "partial 16S ribosomal RNA". It matches the Rfam family "Bacterial small subunit ribosomal RNA", at positions 524 to 776 of the family's 1533-position model. The record is from RNAcentral.